Molecule: long non-coding RNA, 1594 nt
Organism: Triplophysa rosa
Lineage: Eukaryota; Metazoa; Chordata; Actinopteri; Cypriniformes; Nemacheilidae
Exons: 3
Source: RefSeq, a predicted model, not a curated record
AAGAAAUACGAGCAUAAUGGCGGACCAACAACAAAUUAGAGACGCGCCAGCGUCUUUUAAAUCAAAAGUUUGGGCGCACUUUGGAUUUCGUAGUGAACGUAAAUAAGUAGGCAUGGUUAACUCGGCGCUCUGCAAGUUGGGAAUACUCUUUUCACCUUCUUUCAGUCUGUAGUUUCGUGAUUCGCUCCAGUCCGGCGCUUUCUCUCUCACCCGCAGUGCUCGUGCAGGGGUGCAGCUAUCUGCGCGUGCAUAUUAAAAAAGCUCAUUCUCACGUAUUACAGAAGUCAGAUUGUUUUGUAAAGCUUUAAUAGUUUUUAUAAAGCUCAACUUUAGGCGAGCCGAGGCGAAACUUGCGUUGAAAUGCGCGAUGAUCCUCAUAGCGUGAGUGCUUCGACGUGACGCGCCGCAAACCCCCGUUUUAGGAGACGCGUGUGGAGUCACCAGAGACUCACAGUCCAAAGACAAGCGCAAGAAUAAACAAACCUAAAGACAGAGAGUCGCAACACACUAAAAAUGCUCAUCUAAUAGAUCAUUUUUUCCCUUCAUUUACAGAUGUAAUGUAUUUUUCAAGUAAUGUUUUUUUAUAGAAUUGCCAAGCGAUAUAUCGAUUAUCGCAGAAUCGGCGCAUUGUGAUAUUAUCAGUAUCGUGAGCCCUGUAUCGCCUAUCGAAUCGUAUCGGGAGGUACCCUGCGAUUACCAUCCCUAAUAUAUACAGUAUUUGGGUAGUUAACAAAUGAACCAUACUAGUGACCGCAACAAUUCUGAAAACAAAUUGUAAUUUUUCUGAGGUGAAGUAAUCCUGAGUAAUUUCUUUUACAUAAUCAUGUUAAAUGCCUUAAUGGUGAAAUUCAGUAUGAGGAGUGGUGGUCAACUUGAAAAGAAGCCAUUCAAAGCUAUACUAUGUAAUUCAAGACUCUUAAUAGAAGAUGUAGACUUGCCAUGAUCCAGAAUGCCAGCUAUUUGCUGAAGUUCAUCUUCAAACAGAACAGCAUGGAAUGCAGUACUCUUCAGAUGCUUUGAACAGGUGUAGCCCAAAUGCAACAGAUGCAUCAAUGGCAGAACACCUGAAGCACGCUGGGGGUGGUGGAUAUAAAAAAUGAGCCAUAAUCAACUUUCACCGACUCUAAAACAUUUACACAGGUUUUAACCAUAAUCCUGUAUUUUGUUGUUUACUUGUUUUAUGGCUGUUUAACAGUAAUACAAUACUGUUAGGAAAUAAUAGGUAGUGCCAUAGCUCUGACUUCCAUGCAUCAAUGGUGGAACACAUGAAUCAUACUCCUGGAAGAGCUGGUGGUCGGGGACCAAGAAAACAAUAGUAAACAUUUUGAAAAAAAAUGGAAAGACUAAAGUAGUUACAUAUGUGUUUCCUAUAAUUCUGUACUUUUGUUAUUUUCAUGUUUGAUUAAUGGCUGCUUAACAUUAAUGUAAAACUCCAUUGCUAUUGAAAUUGCACUAUUUUUUUCUUGUUUGAAUAGGAGCUUUUUAACAAUUGGAAGACAACUAAAAAAUUGAUGUUCACUAUAAAAUAUGCUGUGAUAAAUUAAAACACUUCUUUUUGCUUAAGUCCAGAAAUAAUGUGUUGUUUGUGAUGUAC